RNAcentral lists this antisense RNA (69 nucleotides) under Saccharothrix sp. ST-888. RNAcentral's name for it is "ASpks TB sRNA". It matches the Rfam family "ASpks TB sRNA". The record is from Rfam by way of RNAcentral. Lineage: Bacteria; Bacillati; Actinomycetota; Actinomycetes; Pseudonocardiales; Pseudonocardiaceae.
CUUGACCGAGCCGAGCCGGAGCGGCUCCGCGCGGUCCUGCCCGUAGGUCGCGAGCAGGGCCUGCGCCUC